This 253-nucleotide ribosomal RNA is filed under the name uncultured bacterium. RNAcentral's name for it is "partial 16S ribosomal RNA". It matches the Rfam family "Bacterial small subunit ribosomal RNA", at positions 524 to 776 of the family's 1533-position model. The record is from RNAcentral.
UACGUAGGUGGCAAGCGUUGUUCGGAAUUAUUGGGCGUAAAGGGCGCGUAGGCGGUCGGUUAAGUCAGCUGUGAAAGCCCGGGGCUCAACCCCGGAAGGUCGGCUGAUACUGAUUGACUAGAGUACGGAAGAGGUAGCUGGAAUUCCCGGUGUGGCGGUGAAAUGCGUAGAUAUCGGGAGGAACACCUGAGGCGAAGGCGGGCUACUGGGCCGAUACUGACGCUGAGGCGCGAAAGCCAGGGGAGCAAACGGG